ACUGUGUGUUGUUGGGUAGGGGAGCGUUCUGUAAGCCUGUGAAGGUGUGUCGUGAGGCAUGCUGGAGGUAUCAGAAGUGCGAAUGCUGACAUAAGUAACGAUAAAGCGGGUGAAAAGCCCGCUCGCCGGAAGACCAAGGGUUCCUGUCCAACGUUAAUCGGGGCAGGGUGAGUCGACCCCUAAGGCGAGGCCGAAAGGCGUAGUCGAUGGGAAACGGGUUAAUAUUCCCGUACUUGGUGUUACUGCGAAGGGGGGACGGAGAAGGCUAUGUUGGCCGGGCGACGGUUGUCCCGGUUUAAGCGUGUAGGUGUGUGUUCCAGGUAAAUCCGGUUCACUUUAACACUGAGGCGUGACGACGAGGCACUACGGUGCUGAAGCAACAAAUGCCCUGCUUCCAGGAAAAGCCUCUAAGCAUCAGGUAACAUCAAAUCGUACCCCAAACCGACACAGGUGGUCAGGUAGAGAAUACCAAGGCGCUUGAGAGAACUCGGGUGAAGGAACUAGGCAAAAUGGUGCCGUAACUUCGGGAGAAGGCACGCUGACACGUAGGUGAAGUGAUUUACUCAUGGAGCUGAAGUCAGUCGAAGAUACCAGCUGGCUGCAACUGUUUAUUAAAAACACAGCACUGUGCAAACACGAAAGUGGACGUAUACGGUGUGACGCCUGCCCGGUGCCGGAAGGUUAAUUGAUGGGGUCAGCGCAAGCGAAGCUCCUGAUCGAAGCCCCGGUAAACGGCGGCCGUAACUAUAACGGUCCUAAGGUAGCGAAAUUCCUUGUCGGGUAAGUUCCGACCUGCACGAAUGGCGUAAUGAUGGCCAGGCUGUCUCCACCCGAGACUCAGUGAAAUUGAACUCGCUGUGAAGAUGCAGUGUACCCGCGGCAAGACGGAAAGACCCCGUGAACCUUUACUAUAGCUUGACACUGAACAUUGAGCCUUGAUGUGUAGGAUAGGUGGGAGGCUUUGAAGCGUGGACGCCAGUCUGCGUGGAGCCGACCUUGAAAUACCACCCUUUAAUGUUUGAUGUUCUAACGUGGACCCGUAAUCCGGGUUGCGGACAGUGUCUGGUGGGUAGUUUGACUGGGGCGGUCUCCUCCUAAAGAGUAACGGAGGAGCACGAAGGUUGGCUAAUCCUGGUCGGACAUCAGGAGGUUAGUGCAAUGGCAUAAGCCAGCUUGACUGCGAGCGUGACGGCGCGAGCAGGUGCGAAAGCAGGUCAUAGUGAUCCGGUGGUUCUGAAUGGAAGGGCCAUCGCUCAACGGAUAAAAGGUACUCCGGGGAUAACAGGCUGAUACCGCCCAAGAGUUCAUAUCGACGGCGGUGUUUGGCACCUCGAUGUCGGCUCAUCACAUCCUGGGGCUGAAGUAGGUCCCAAGGGUAUGGCUGUUCGCCAUUUAAAGUGGUACGCGAGCUGGGUUUAGAACGUCGUGAGACAGUUCGGUCCCUAUCUGCCGUGGGCGCUGGAGAACUGAGGGGGGCUGCUCCUAGUACGAGAGGACCGGAGUGGACGCAUCACUGGUGUUCGGGUUGUCAUGCCAAUGGCACUGCCCGGUAGCUAAAUGCGGAAGAGAUAAGUGCUGAAAGCAUCUAAGCACGAAACUUGCCCCGAGAUGAGUUCUCCCUGAGACUUAGAGUCUCCUGAAGGAACGUUGAAGACGACGACGUUGA
RNAcentral lists this ribosomal RNA (1666 nucleotides) under Salmonella enterica subsp. enterica serovar Stanley. Its description in RNAcentral is "partial 23S ribosomal RNA". It matches the Rfam family "Bacterial large subunit ribosomal RNA", at positions 1213 to 2856 of the family's 2925-position model. The record is from RNAcentral. Lineage: Bacteria; Pseudomonadati; Pseudomonadota; Gammaproteobacteria; Enterobacterales; Enterobacteriaceae.